Molecule: ribosomal RNA, 403 nt
Filed under: uncultured bacterium
Lineage: Bacteria
Description: bacterial SSU rRNA
Rfam family: Bacterial small subunit ribosomal RNA
Source: RNAcentral
UAGGGAAUAUUGCAAAAUGGGCGAAAGCCCGAUGCAGCAACGCCGCGUGCACGAUGAAGGCCUUCGGGUCGUAAAGUGCUUUUAGAGAGGAUGAGGAAGGACAGUACUUUCUGAAUAAGCCUCGGCUAACUACGUGCCAGCAGCCGCGGUAAAACGUAGGAGGCUAGCGUUAUCCGGAUUUACUGGGCGUAAAGCGCAUGCAGGUGGUUUUGUAAGUUGGAUGUGAAAGCUCCUGGCUUAACUGGGAGAGGUCGUUCAAAACUACAAGACUUGAGAUUGGUAGAGGAAAAUGGAAUUCCGGGUGUAGUGGUGAAAUGCGUAGAUAUCCGGAGGAACACCAGUGGCGAAAGCGGUUUUCUGGACCAAUUCUGACACUCAGAUGCGAAAGCUAAGGUAGCAAACG